RNAcentral lists this unclassified non-coding RNA (413 nucleotides) under Hevea brasiliensis (rubber tree). Lineage: Eukaryota; Viridiplantae; Streptophyta; Magnoliopsida; Malpighiales; Euphorbiaceae. The record is from RNAcentral.
GGGAUUUUGCGCUAUCAGCUGGAUAUAAGAUCGUUCGACGAGGUGUCGGAUGAGGACAUUUAUGAAGAUUCUGAUUAGGUAUCGGAGGAUCAAUGUGAUUCUGAUUAGAUGCUCAAUGAAAGUAAUAGCAGCAUGAACUAGUGGAUCUGAGUUGCGCUAGCGGAUGUUGACUGCGAAGUGGAGAUUUUGAGGUUCUAUAUGAGAUAUUGCUACUCAGAUAUGUGUUCGAUACAGUAUGUUUGAUCCAGUUUUUGGGCAUGGACAUACUUUGAUUUACUUUUCGUGUUGGUCUAGUAUUAUAUUAUGUGUGUUUGUAGUUCUUGAUUCUAUGUUCUGGAGUAUUAUGUUUGCUGUCUGGUGAUGAACCUGUGGUUUGAGUUAUUAUGAGAAGAAUUUGCAGUAAUGACAAUGAA